AGUGAACGCUGGCGGUAGGCCUAACACAUGCAAGUCGAACGGCAGCACAGUAAGAGCUUGCUCUUACGGGUGGCGCGUGGCGGACGGGUGAGGAAUACAUCGGAAUCUACUUUUUCGUGGGGGAUAACGUAGGGAAACUUACGCUAAUACCGCAUACGACCUACGGGUGAAAGCAGGGGAUCUUCGGACCUUGCGCGAUUGAAUGAGCCGAUGUCGGAUUAGCUAGUUGGCGGGGUAAAGGCCCACCAAGGCGACGAUCCGUAGCUGGUCUGAGAGGAUGAUCAGCCACACUGGAACUGAGACACGGUCCAGACUCCUACGGGAGGCAGCAGUGGGGAAUAUUGGACAAUGGGCGCAAGCCUGAUCCAGCCAUACCGCGUGGGUGAAGAAGGCCUUCGGGUUGUAAAGCCCUUUUGAUGGGAAAGAAAAGCAGCAGGUUAAUACCCCGCUGUUCUGACGGUACCCAAAGAAUAAGCACCGGCUAACUUCGUG
Molecule: ribosomal RNA, 492 nt
Filed under: uncultured bacterium
Lineage: Bacteria
Description: partial 16S ribosomal RNA
Rfam family: Bacterial small subunit ribosomal RNA
Source: RNAcentral